UUGAUCUCAAAUCAGGUAGGAUUACCCGCUGAACUUAAGCAUAUCAAUAAGCGGAGGAAAAGAAACUAACGAGGAUUCCCCUAGUAACUGCGAGUGAAGCGGGAAGAGCUCAAAUUUAAAAUCUGGCGUGCCUCUGGCCGUCCGAGUUGUAGUCUGGAGAAGCGUUUUCUGUGUUGGACCGUGUAUAAGUCUCUUGGAACAGGGCGUCAUAGAGGGUGAGAAUCCCGUCUUUGACACGGACUACCAAUGCUUUGUGAUGCGCUCUCAAAGAGUCGAGUUGUUUGGGAAUGCAGCUCAAAAUGGGUGGUAAAUUCCAUCUAAAGCUAAAUAUAGGCGAGAGACCGAUAGCGAACAAGUACCG
This 361-nucleotide ribosomal RNA is filed under the name Tomentella sp. TAA195037. RNAcentral's name for it is "eukaryotic LSU rRNA". It matches the Rfam family "Eukaryotic large subunit ribosomal RNA", at positions 1 to 353 of the family's 3401-position model. The record is from RNAcentral. Lineage: Eukaryota; Fungi; Basidiomycota; Agaricomycetes; Thelephorales; Thelephoraceae.